GAUGAACGCUGGCGGCGUGCCUAAUACAUGCAAGUCGAGCGAACAGACGAGGAGCUUGCUCCUCUGACGUUAGCGGCGGACGGGUGAGUAACACGUGGAUAACCUACCUAUAAGACUGGGAUAACUUCGGGAAACCGGAGCUAAUACCGGAUAAUAUAUUGAACCGCAUGGUUCAAUAGUGAAAGACGGUUUUGCUGUCACUUAUAGAUGGAUCCGCGCCGCAUUAGCUAGUUGGUAAGGUAACGGCUUACCAAGGCAACGAUGCGUAGCCGACCUGAGAGGGUGAUCGGCCACACUGGAGCUGAGACACGGUCCAGACUCCUACGGGAGGCAGCAGUAGGGAAUCUUCCGCAAUGGGCGAAAGCCUGACGGAGCAACGCCGCGUGAGUGAUGAAGGUCUUCGGAUCGUAAAACUCUGUUAUUAGGGGAGAACAAAUGUGUAAGUAACUAUGCACGUCUUGACGGUACCUGAUCAGAAAGCCACGGCUAACUACGUG
RNAcentral lists this ribosomal RNA (497 nucleotides) under uncultured bacterium. Its description in RNAcentral is "partial 16S ribosomal RNA". It matches the Rfam family "Bacterial small subunit ribosomal RNA", at positions 28 to 507 of the family's 1533-position model. The record is from RNAcentral.